UUUCUACUUCCUCCGUUUCAAAUUACUUGUCUCAGAUUUGUCUAGAUACGGAGAUAUCUAGCACUAAAAUGAGUCUAGAUACGGAUGUCUAGAUACAUCCGUAUCUAGACAAAUCCAAGACAAGUAAUUUGGAACGGAGGGAGUCGACU
Molecule: non-coding RNA, 149 nt
Organism: Triticum aestivum (bread wheat)
Lineage: Eukaryota; Viridiplantae; Streptophyta; Magnoliopsida; Poales; Poaceae
Source: Rfam